AGCCAGACUCCUACGGGAGGCAGCAGUGGGGAAUAUUGCACAAUGGGCGAAAGCCUGAUGCAGCGACGCCGCGUGAGUGAAGAAGUAUUUCGGUAUGUAAAGCUCUAUCAGCAGGGAAGAAAAUGACGGUACCUGACUAAGAAGCCCCGGCUAACUACGUGCCAGCAGCCGCGGUAAUACGUAGGGGGCAAGCGUUAUCCGGAUUUACUGGGUGUAAAGGGAGCGUAGACGGCGAAGCAAGUCUGAAGUGAAAACCCAGGGCUCAACCCUGGGACUGCUUUGGAAACUGUUUUGCUAGAGUGUCGGAGAGGUAAGUGGAAUUCCUAGUGUAGCGGUGAAAUGCGUAGAUAUUAGGAGGAACAUCGGUGGCGUAAGCGCUUUACUGGGCCGUAAUUGACGCUGAGGAACGAAAGCCAGGGUAGCAAAUGGGAUUAGAUACCCGAGUACGA
This 449-nucleotide ribosomal RNA is filed under the name uncultured bacterium. RNAcentral's name for it is "bacterial SSU rRNA". It matches the Rfam family "Bacterial small subunit ribosomal RNA", at positions 329 to 794 of the family's 1533-position model. The record is from RNAcentral.